Molecule: non-coding RNA, 106 nt
Organism: Acanthosepion pharaonis
Lineage: Eukaryota; Metazoa; Mollusca; Cephalopoda; Sepiida; Sepiidae
Source: the annotation of a GenBank genome assembly
AUAUCACGCUGGAACACCGGUUACCGUACGAUCACCGAAGGUAAGCAACGUCGAGUCUGGUCAGUACAAAGAUAGGUGAUUGCUUAAGAAUACCAGGUGCUGUAAG